RNAcentral lists this ribosomal RNA (497 nucleotides) under uncultured bacterium. RNAcentral describes it as "partial 16S ribosomal RNA". It matches the Rfam family "Bacterial small subunit ribosomal RNA", at positions 28 to 507 of the family's 1533-position model. The record is from RNAcentral.
GAUGAACGCUGGCGGCGUGCCUAAUACAUGCAAGUCGAGCGAACAGACGAGGAGCUUGCUCCUCUGACGUUAGCGGCGGACGGGUGAGUAACACGUGGAUAACCUACCUACAAGACUGGGAUAACUUCGGGAAACCGGAGCUAAUACCGGAUAAUAUAUUGAACCGCAUGGUUCAAUAGUGAAAGACGGUUUUGCUGUCACUUAUAGAUGGAUCCGCGCCGCAUUAGCUAGUUGGUAAGGUAACGGCUUACCAAGGCGACGAUGCGUAGCCGACCUGAGAGGGUGAUCGGCCACACUGGAACUGAGACACGGUCCAGACUCCUACGGGAGGCAGCAGUAGGGAAUCUUCCGCAAUGGGCGAAAGCCUGACGGAGUAACGCCGCGUGAGUGAUGAAGGUCUUCGGAUCGUAAAACUCUGUUAUUAGGGAAGAACAAAUGUGUAAGUAACUAUGCACGUCUUGACGGUACCUAAUCAGAAAGCCACGGCUAACUACGUG